CGGCAUAACUGAAUGUAAAUAAUCUAAAGAAAGCAGAGCAAUCAAGAAGCUAAGACUGAAUAUGCAAAAAUAGUAAUGCCAGUACUUUUAUAUGUUAACUCAGAUCAAGCAUUAGGAAUAUUGCAUGAAGAAAGCAGAGCAACUAAGAAGCUAAGACUGAAUAUGUAAAAAUAGUAAUGCCAGUACUUUUAUAUGUUAGCUCAGAUCAAGCAUUAGGAAUAUUGCAUAAUGAAUAAGUUGGUUUAUGUAACUAAGAAUAUGUUCUAUACCAUCUAGUAGAUAAUUAAGUUUGUGUUGUAAUUGUU
Molecule: long non-coding RNA, 305 nt
Filed under: Nicotiana benthamiana
Lineage: Eukaryota; Viridiplantae; Streptophyta; Magnoliopsida; Solanales; Solanaceae
Description: long non-coding RNA (NBEN_LNC038651)
Source: RNAcentral